This 253-nucleotide ribosomal RNA is filed under the name uncultured bacterium. Its description in RNAcentral is "partial 16S ribosomal RNA". It matches the Rfam family "Bacterial small subunit ribosomal RNA", at positions 524 to 776 of the family's 1533-position model. The record is from RNAcentral.
UACGUAGGGUGCAGGCGUUAAUCGGAAUUACUGGGCGUAAAGCGUGCGCAGGCGGCUCCUUAAGUCAGAUGUGAAAUCCCCGGGCUUAACCUGGGAACUGCGUUUGAAACUGGGGAGCUCGAGUGUGGAAGAGGGGGGUGGAAUUCCCGGUGUAGAGGUGAAAUUCGUAGAUAUCGGGAGGAACACCAGCGGCGAAGGCGACCGCCUGGACGGCUACUGACGCUGAGACGCGAAAGCGUGGGGAGCAAACAGG